UCCAACCAUAAGGUUGUAGACAAUCCCUCAGCUUUCUUUUCAUAACUAGAGACCCAAGAAAUCAUAAAGAGGAGCAUGAUAUCACAGAUGAGCUUUAUUUUUGUGAACUAACACUGCAGGUUUCCCACUUUGGACAGCUGUAGUCAGUCACGUGCUACCCAGAACAAAACCCCACAAAAGAAGUUAACUCUAGCCUGGGGGGGGGGGGAAUCCUUUUAUCCUUCAUGAGUCUGAGGCCUUUAAAUUUGUCACCUGAAUGUGAUAUUAACAUAAUCGUCUGCAUUUUCUGCUAAUGAAUGCACCUGUUUCUAAGACUUUAUUUUAGCAGUUUUAAUGAGCUCUUCAAAGGAGUUUGCCUGGACUUACCGCUAAAAGAGAAAAAGCAGCUGGAAGCAACUAACUGCAUUCGGAAUUCGAGUCAGGGCUCUGUGAAGUUGUUAAACUUGAGAAGGAGUAUCUACGCAUCUGUCUGCAAGGUGACAGAGGAUGCUGAGCCAGAGCCACAGUGAGUGGGAAAUGCUCUAGUGAAGGUGGGCCUGGCUAUGGAAGCCUCUUCGUUGCUCGGCCAGAAGAGCUGCAAGCAAAGAAUGGAAAUUUCCAAACGCAGCAUCGAGAGCUGCUGUUCUGCUGACUGUCUGGCUCAGCCGGGGUCAUCUGCUUCUCUAAAGACAUCAAGGAAUGCCAAGGUAGGGCUAAGAGAACACGAUGGGCUUCCUCUGCAGGCAGGAAGGAAGAUCUUUGCGUGCUGCCUAGGAGCUGGGAGGAGAGGAGAGGAGAGGCAGCAGAGGUGACACCCCCUGCUCCCUCCCCCUGAACAGGAAGUCAUCCCACUUGACUUCUUUCCAGGGGCAGCUGGCUGGCAGGAUUUGUGUUUUUAAAAGACAUUCCUAAGGUGGGUGGGAGAUACAGAAACAUGAAAGAAAGAAAUCUUUGUUGGGGUCUAAUUUUGAAAGGACUUUACCUGGUAGCUAUAUCAUUCAAUCAUGUGACCUAUCCAAGAAAACCAAUCAAUCAAAAUCUCUCUCUCUCUCUCUCUCUCUCUCUCUCUCUCUCUCUCUCUCUCUGUGUGUGUGUGUGUGUGUGUGUGUCUCAUGUAGCCAAGGCUGGUCUUGACCUCCUGACCCCCCUUCCUUCACCUUCCAAAUGCUGGGAUUAAAGGCAUGUGCCAUUAUGCCCAGCAUUAAUUCUGAAUUUAGAAUAUUCAAGCUGUACCUCCUGAGACAGCUCUAUCUCCUCAUCCCCCAUAAACCAAACCUUCCACAAAUAUCCCAGCAGGUUCUGUCCCCACCUCGGCAAUAAUUUCAACAGGCCUGUUCCUUUCCACUGCAGCUACGUAAAAAUACAUUCCUGUUCACAGCUGGUCCUGCCGCCUGAGUCAACAGGCAUCUAAUAGUUCCCUGAGAUCUGGCAUGUUCCUUCCACCCACGGAUGCUGUUCCUACAGAAGUCUCAACAGCAGCAACUCCAUGGAAGUUGGUGUCAGGGCGUCAGCUUCCUGCAGACGCCGAAGGACCCCCGAGUGGCUUUGGAACAGAAGGAAUAUUCUCAAACCUAAGCCAUGUGGUUUUUGUCUGACUGAAAGUUUGGUUUCUGUUUGUCACCUUUCAGGAAGUUCUUAACAAACAAGUGUUAUCUAUGAGUUCUGUGCUCUGCCAUCCCCUGGCACCAGGGAAAGGACUGCAAUGAAGGGUUUUUGACAUCCUUGUUCUUUAUACUAAACACUCUUUAUUGAAACAAGUUUGAUAACAGUGACGAAUUUCUGGCAAGAAACUUAAAAAAAAAUCACACAGCG
Molecule: long non-coding RNA, 1791 nt
Organism: Mus spicilegus (steppe mouse)
Lineage: Eukaryota; Metazoa; Chordata; Mammalia; Rodentia; Muridae
Source: Ensembl